UAGCAUGCACCUCCACCUUCAUCCUGUUCUUCUGACUGUGGCGGCUUGGAGUAGGUAGUUAGGUAAGGGAGGGAUAUCAAACUGCGCGCCAUGGGUUUCCCUUUACGCUUCUUAUCAUCAUUGUCGUUGUGCCUCUUGGCCCUCCUCCUCCACCGGGCCACGGUGACAAGUGGGUGUUUCAGCAUGGAGAGGGAGGCACUGUUGGACUUCAAAGCUGGUGUCCGAGACACCCGCAACCGGCUAUCUUCUUGGACGGGCCACCACUGUUGCACAUGGAAGGGAGUGACCUGCGACACCACCACUGGCCACGUCGUCAUGCUGGACCUCCGAAACACAAAUUUUACAGAUGAUCGGGCAUUACGCGGAUCCGCAUGCCGGAAUUCAUCGGCUCCUUCAAGAAACUGAGAUACCUCAAUCUAUCUUUUACAUAUUUCAUGGGAGGAAUACCUGCUCGGCUGGGGAACCUUUCGAGCCUCUACGUUCUUGAUCUAAACGAUGCUUUAGAUUUUGCAUACCAUGUUGACAACCUCGACUGGCUCUCCCAUCUUACCUCCCUGAAGAACCUGGACUUGAGCUGGUUGAAGCUAACCGGUGCCCCAGAUUGGUUCUCAUCCGUGAACACGCUGCCAUCCCUCCAAGUGUUAAGUAUGUCUUAUGUUGGUCUCGAUACCAUCCCAGCAUCUGUUGUCCACGUCAACUUCACCUCCUCUCUUACCGUCCUUGAUCUCUCCUUGAAUAAUUUCGACUCCACCUUACCCAAAUGGUUGUGGAAUAUUAGUGGUCUUACCCAUCUUGAUCUUCAUGAAUCUGGGUUCUAUGGGGUUAUUCCUGAUGCAAUUGGAGACUUGGGCAGACUGAAAGAAUUAUAUAUGUCGGACAACCAAUUGACAGGAAAUUUGAGCGGUUGGCUGGAGCAAAUGACGAAUCUCAUCAUUUUGGAUCUCAGCUAUAAUUUAUUCAACGGUUCCAUGCCUUCCUCCUCCGUUGGUAAGUUGUCUAAUCUCACUGAAUUGUAUCUCGAUGGAAAUUGUCUGGGAGGUGUCAUUUCAGAAGUUCAUUUUGAGAAUCUUACGAGAUUGCAAGUAUUAGACUUGUAUGACAACUCCAUCACCAUAUCAAUUGGCCAAAGUUGGGUCCCCCCUUUCCAACUCAGAUUAGUAGGUUUAGCCAAAUGUCAGUUGGGACCUCAAUUUCCAGAAUGGUUGCAGUUUCAAACACAGAUCGAAGAAUUAUAUUUGGCAGACUGUAAAAUUGCAGGGACAAUGCCCGCUUGGUUUUGGAAUAUUUCAUCUUCUACCAUCAUAUUUUUAGACCUUUCCAACAACCAAAUAGGAGGCAAGCUGCCAUCUUCUUUAAAGUUCACCAAGUUGGAAAGAUUACAGUUGGAUUCCAACAGAUUUGAAGGUCCAUUGCCAACGAUGCUACCGUCUACACUCGAUACUCUAUUCCUCUCCAAUAAUUCCUUUACAGGGCAAUUGCCGAUAUGGCCCCAUGUUUACUCAGUGGCACUCUCUGAUAACAUGCUUGAUGGUGGCUUAUCUUCAUCAAUCUGCCAAUGGACAUUUCUCGUAUACCUUGACCUUUCGAACAACAAAUUACUUGGUGAGAUCCCUUAUUGUCUGGGAAAAUCAUUACAAAUCCUUAAAUUCUUGAUUUUGGACAACAAUCACAUCUCGGGUGAAAUUCCACACACGAUCGGUUUUUUAAGUGAGCUUCAGCUAUUGCAAUUGAAAAAUAACAGUUUUUCGGGUGAGGUUCCUUUGUCAUUGAAAAAUUGUACAAAGUUACAGUUUCUUGAUCUGGCUCAAAAUAAUCUUGUUGGAAGUAUAAUGCUAUGGAUGGGAGAAAAUCUACGACAACUGGUAGUACUUCGUCUACGUUCAAAUAUGUUUUCUGGAGUUAUUCCUUGGCAACUUGCUCGAUUUGAACAGCUUCAAAUAUUGGAUCUUGCUAAUAACAAUUUCUCUGGAUCAAUACCUCACAACAUUGGUAAUUUAAAUACCAUGAGAUCGACAACACUUUAUAAUGAAUCUUGUGAUUAUGAAUCAGAUGUCUUUACAAAGGGACAAGAUCUUUAUUAUUUACAAUGCAGCAUGCGACGUAUGAAAAGUUUAGAUUUUUCAAACAAUCAUCUAACCGGAGAGAUACCAAAAGGAAUUGGAGACCUUGCAGGACUCAAGAACUUAAAUUUGUCAAGAAAUCAUUUACAAGGGAAAAUCCCUUGGGAGAUAGAAGGAAUGAAAUCAUUAGAAUCUCUUGAUCUAUCGAUAAAUGAUCUUUCUGGUAGCAUUCCUGAGAGCUUAUCGGCUUUAUAUUCUUUGAGCUAUUUGAAUUUGUCAUAUAAUAAUCUUUCGGGAAGGAUACCAACUGGUUAUCAACUCCAAACACUCAAUGAUCCAUCCAUUUACAUGGGCAAUGCCGACUUAUGUGGACCACCAACUUUCAAAAGUUGUUUUAAUAAUAAAACAACUCAAAAUGAUAUACAAGAGUACAAGAAGGAGAUUCCCGAGUGGCUAUGGUUUUAUAUCAGCAUGGUACUAGGAUAUGUGAUGGGAUUUUGGACCUUUUGUGGUAUACUCUUCCUGAAAGAUGCAUGGAGGCAUGCUUAUUUUCGUACGAUUGAUGAUAUAUAUGAUCGGUUCUGGGUGCAAUGGCAUUUAAUCUUUUGACGAUUGUUUAAACUUUAAUCCUAAAAUUUCUAGUGUGGAUGAUCCAAGGCUGUACCGUAGAUGGGGACAAGAUGCCUGCGAGUAGAUUGAAUUUGGUUAUGUAUCAAGGCAACAAAUUAUAUUGUUUAUGGUUCAAACUUUUGAGACUUGUGAUGUAAUAAUUCAUUAGUGGGAUGUCUUUGGUGAACUUAUUUGUGUUUGAGAGUUCAAUAUAUCGCUGCCGUAUAUUAUGGACGUAUCUGUUUUGUAUUGUGUCAAGUGCAUGUAUUUGGAUUUAAGUUGCGUACAAGUUUAAGCCUUGCAAUUCUCAUAUGAAAACUUAUGGA
Musa acuminata AAA Group (dessert banana) is the source of this 2995-nucleotide RNA transcript. It is a transcript of the gene named receptor-like protein EIX2, with no coding region annotated. Lineage: Eukaryota; Viridiplantae; Streptophyta; Magnoliopsida; Zingiberales; Musaceae. The record is from RefSeq and is a predicted model, not a curated record. The transcript has 3 exons.